CCCAAAGCUGUAAACAUCACAUCUUCUGUUGUA
Molecule: small RNA, 33 nt
Filed under: Arabidopsis thaliana (thale cress)
Lineage: Eukaryota; Viridiplantae; Streptophyta; Magnoliopsida; Brassicales; Brassicaceae
Description: ATSL145170
Source: RNAcentral